UACGUAGGGUGCGAGCGUUAAUCGGAAUUACUGGGCGUAAAGCGUGCGCAGGCGGUUUUGUAAGUCUGACGUGAAAUCCCCGGGCUCAACCUGGGAAUUGCGUUGGAGACUGCAAGGCUGGAGUCUGGCAGAGGGGGGUAGAAUUCCACGUGUAGCAGUGAAAUGCGUAGAGAUGUGGAGGAACACCGAUGGCGAAGGCAGCCCCCUGGGUCAAGAUUGACGCUCAUGCACGAAAGCGUGGGGAGCAAACAGG
This 253-nucleotide ribosomal RNA is filed under the name uncultured bacterium. RNAcentral describes it as "partial 16S ribosomal RNA". It matches the Rfam family "Bacterial small subunit ribosomal RNA", at positions 524 to 776 of the family's 1533-position model. The record is from RNAcentral.